Molecule: ribosomal RNA, 341 nt
Filed under: uncultured bacterium
Lineage: Bacteria
Description: bacterial SSU rRNA
Rfam family: Bacterial small subunit ribosomal RNA
Source: RNAcentral
AGAGACGAGUCAGAGUUUGAUCCUGGCUCAGAGUGAACGCUGGCGGUAGGCCUAACACAUGCAAGUCGAACGGCAGCACGAGAGAGCUUGCUCUCUUGGUGGCGAGUGGCGGACGGGUGAGGAAUACAUCGGAAUCUACCCUGUCGUGGGGGAUAACCUCGGGAAACCGGGACUAAUACCGCAUACGACCUUCGGGUGAAAGUAGGGGAUCGCAAGACCUUACGCGAUUGGAUGAGCCGAUGUCGGAUUAGCUUGUUGGCGGGGUAAAAGCCCACCAAGGCGACGAUCCGUAGCUGGUCUGAGAGGAUGAUCAGCCACACUGGGACUGAGACACGGCCCAG